CAAAUACUCCUCUAAAGGAAAUAUUCACAUGUAUAUUUUUACUGGUAAAAAAGCCCAUGGGGGCAUUUACAGCCAUAUACUAUACUAUUUUCAUAAAUUUGGCUUUUUGGGGAAGUUUUCUGAAAAAAAAAAUUAGUUUAAGAUAGUGACAGAAAAUUCAGGAAAGCAGAAAGAAGAUACCAAGAAGACAUAACCUGCAAGAAAACUGAUACAUUAUAAGAUCCUUUUACUAAGAUACAGUAGACCCUUAUAAUCAAAAAUAAAUAAAGGCAGAAAAAAGCUUGUGACCUCUAAUGACAUAAAUGUAUAUGACCUUAUGAGCAAGCAGAAUUGUGACCUCUAGUUUUAGCAUUAUACUUUGAAGCCCACAGUCAAACAGACUAAAUUCUCCAAGGUAAAUGGGCAAAGAAAAUUUUUCAAAGUGACAGGCGUGUCAUCUUUCAUUGCAUUUGUACAACUGGUCAUUUAACCUUCACCUGCUCCCAGGGUUUGUACUGUACUGUUGUACUUAUAAUCUAGCAACAGAAACAGAAGAACCACCACCCUGUUCUUACAAAGAUCUGAAGUCACAAGGCUAAGAAUAGAAAGUUCCCAAAACAUGCAAAACAUUUCCAGCUCAUGAAGAAAAAUUUAGUUUUAUGAGUGUUUAUACUAAUAACUCAG
This 663-nucleotide long non-coding RNA is filed under the name Bos taurus (domestic cattle). RNAcentral describes it as "long non-coding RNA NONBTAT010611". Lineage: Eukaryota; Metazoa; Chordata; Mammalia; Artiodactyla; Bovidae. The record is from RNAcentral.